RNAcentral lists this unclassified non-coding RNA (1218 nucleotides) under Hevea brasiliensis (rubber tree). The record is from RNAcentral. Lineage: Eukaryota; Viridiplantae; Streptophyta; Magnoliopsida; Malpighiales; Euphorbiaceae.
GAGGACUCCUCAAUCUCAGACAUGUUGGCAAGAGAAGCACACUGAAAUGUUGCUUAGAAAUACGUUAGAAAAGCCUACUAUAUGAAGAGGUAGUGUUAAAAAAGUGAGAAACAGGUGACGGGACCAGCGUAGUUGAGGUCGCCUAAGGCCUGCGAGUCGACGGGAAGAAGCACCGGCGAGAGACGGUCGGCGGAGAGGGCUCACGCACCGGCGCGUGUGACGGCGGGCUGACGGCGCGUGAAGGCACGUGUAUCGGAGUCUUUUGCCGGCGGUCAGUGGAGAGGCCGAUCCUGGGCUGGGUAAUCCACUAGACUAGGCUGUGACAGCCACAGACUUUCAGAAAGUGACCGAAAAAAGAUGAAAAGUUCCUCCCUAUGAGGACUUUGUUUCAGAUUUCAAAUCAGACCCACUGAGGGCUCUGAUACCAUGUUAGAAAAUAGAACAGAAGAAGAAUAUUGAGAAUGAUUGAAGAGCUUGAUUAUUCCCUCAAGCCAAUGGUGUCAAUUUAUAAUCUGUACAGGACAACUAAAUAGGAAAUACAAUCCUAAUUAAAUACGUAAUUAUAGCCACGAUUCUAGCACCUAAAUAUAUUCACACAAUCACUACAUAUACACAUAUCCUAGCUAUUUAUGGUACAUAUCUUAACACUCCCCCUCAAGCUGGAGCGUACAUAUUGUAUGCUCCUAGCUUGUUACAAAUAUAACCAAUCCUAGUCCCUCAGAGAGAUUAGGCAAGAAUGUCUACUAAUUGGUCAUUCAAACUGACAUAACUAGCAUGAUCCCCUCAAUAUAGGCAACGAAAAAAUGUGUUUCCCAAAAUGGAGACAAAUAAUAUGUGUAUGAUCCUCUCAAUAUAGGCAAUAAGUGAUAAAGAGAAAGGUUUUCCAACUUAUGUAAUGACGUAUGAGUGACCAUGCCCGUUCAUAAUUGUUUACUCCAUCGCUAAUUAAUUGUUCACUAUAAGACUACAUUCCCAUCUCCUCAUCAACUGUGAAGCCUCAGCAGUUUCACAUCAUGCAAAACCAAAAUAUACAUCUUCAAUAGGUGUGAUUUCUCAAAAAGAAAAAUAAACGUGUGAAAAUGUCUGAGUGGCAUUCUUUUCAUGAGAAGACAAGUACUGAAAACAGAAAAGACUAUUUUCUUGAUCAAUAGCCACAAUGAACACCACUCCCUCCCUCUUCUCCCCAACUAACACCCCCACACCACACAACACCACAAC